RNAcentral lists this transfer RNA (72 nucleotides) under Ictidomys tridecemlineatus (thirteen-lined ground squirrel). RNAcentral describes it as "Spermophilus tridecemlineatus (thirteen-lined ground squirrel) tRNA". It matches the Rfam family "tRNA". From Rfam's summary of the family: Transfer RNA (tRNA) molecules are approximately 80 nucleotides in length. Lineage: Eukaryota; Metazoa; Chordata; Mammalia; Rodentia; Sciuridae. The record is from Rfam by way of RNAcentral.
GGGGAUGUAGCUCAGUGGUAGAGUGCUUGCCUGACAUACAAAAGGCCCUGGGUUCUACUCCCAGUACUGCAA